Molecule: ribosomal RNA, 478 nt
Filed under: uncultured bacterium
Lineage: Bacteria
Description: partial 16S ribosomal RNA
Rfam family: Bacterial small subunit ribosomal RNA
Source: RNAcentral
GAUGAACGCUGGCGGCGUGCUUAACACAUGCAAGUCGAACGAGAAGUGAAGACGGAAACCUUCGGGCGGAAGGCUUUAUUUCGAGUGGCGGACGGGUGAGUAACGCGUGGGUAACCUGCCUCAUACAGGGGGAUAACAGUUGGAAACGACUGUUAAUACCGCAUAAGACCACAGCACCGCAUGGUGCGGGGGUAAAAACUCCGGUGGUAUGAGAUGGACCCGCGUUCGAUUAGCCAGUUGGCGGGGUAACGGCCCACCAAAGCGACGAUCGAUAGCCGAUCUGAGAGGAUGACCGGCCACAUUGGGACUGAGACACGGACCAAACUCCUACGGGAGGCAGAAGUGGGGAAUAUUGCACAAUGGGGGAAACACUGAUGCAGCGACGCCGCGUGAGUGAAGAAGUAUUUCGGUAUGUAAAGCUCUAUCAGAAGGGAAGAAAAUGACGGUACCUGAGUAAGAAGCCCCGGCUAACUACGUG